GAGUAAUGUCUGGGAAACUGCCUGAUGGAGGGGGAUAACUACUGGAAACGGUAGCUAAUACCGCAUAACGUCGCAAGACCAAAGAGGGGGACCUUCGGGCCUCUUGCCAUCGGAUGUGCCCAGAUGGGAUUAGCUAGUAGGUGGGGUAACGGCUCACCUAGGCGACGAUCCCUAGCUGGUCUGAGAGGAUGACCAGCCACACUGGAACUGAGACACGGUCCAGACUCCUACGGGAGGCAGCAGUGGGGAAUAUUGCACAAUGGGCGCAAGCCUGAUGCAGCCAUGCCGCGUGUAUGAAGAAGGCCUUCGGGUUGUAAAGU
Molecule: ribosomal RNA, 320 nt
Filed under: Escherichia coli
Lineage: Bacteria; Pseudomonadati; Pseudomonadota; Gammaproteobacteria; Enterobacterales; Enterobacteriaceae
Description: bacterial SSU rRNA
Rfam family: Bacterial small subunit ribosomal RNA
Source: RNAcentral